GUCGAAACUCACGAUAGAGGGACUGUAUCAUACAUUAACUACACCUAGAGGUUCAUCACUUUUUAUUCUGCUGGAUUGCCACUACAUACUACUAGGUGUCACUGAUGGAUUGUGAGACCCACGAGCAUCAUCUUGAUGAUCGAUGAUCCUUGAUGGACAAAAUUGGAAUGGUUCAACCCAUUGAAAGGAGUUUUGAUGAUAUUGUGAUAGAGA
RNAcentral lists this long non-coding RNA (213 nucleotides) under Elaeis guineensis (African oil palm). Its description in RNAcentral is "long non-coding RNA (EGUI_LNC055544)". The record is from RNAcentral. Lineage: Eukaryota; Viridiplantae; Streptophyta; Magnoliopsida; Arecales; Arecaceae.